AUUGAACGCUGGCGGCAGGCCUAACACAUGCAAGUCGAGCGGGGUUUUCGGACCUAGCGGCGGACGGGUGAGUAAUGCGUAGGAAGCUACCCGACAGAGGGGGAUACCAGUUGGAAACGACUGUUAAUACCGCAUAAUGUCUACGGACCAAAGUGUGGGACCUUCGGCCACAUGCUGUCGGAUGCGCCUACGUGGGAUUAGCUAGUUGGUGAGGUAAUGGCUCACCAAGGCGACGAUCCCUAGCUGGUUUGAGAGGAUGAUCAGCCACACUGGAACUGAGACACGGUCCAGAC
RNAcentral lists this ribosomal RNA (293 nucleotides) under uncultured bacterium. RNAcentral describes it as "partial 16S ribosomal RNA". It matches the Rfam family "Bacterial small subunit ribosomal RNA", at positions 30 to 336 of the family's 1533-position model. The record is from RNAcentral.